Long non-coding RNA from Ictalurus punctatus (channel catfish), 2069 nucleotides. NCBI's taxonomy places the organism in Eukaryota, Metazoa, Chordata, Actinopteri, Siluriformes, Ictaluridae. The record is from Ensembl.
GUGUUUGACGUUAAUUCGGAUGGUGUUUGCCGUUAAUUCGGAUGAUGUGGUGUUUGACGUUAAUUCGGAUGGUGUUUGCCGUUAAUUCCGAUGGUGUUUGAGGUUAAUUAAGAUGGUGAUGGUGUUUGAUGUUAAUUCGGAUGAUGUGGUGUAUGAUGUUAAUUUGGAUGGUGUUUGAGGUUAAUUAGGAUGGUGUGGUGUAUAAUGUUAAUUUGGAUGGUGUUUGAGGUUAAUUAGGAUGGUGUUGGUGUUUGACGUUAAUUCCAAUGGGUGUUUCACGUUAAUUCCAAUGGUGUUGGUGUCUGAAACUGAAACAGCUUCACCUACAGAAAACGUCUCGUACAAGUGAGUCGACUCUCAGCGUGUGAACGACUCACCGAGCGACUCGUUCACAAACGACCCAUCACUAAUAUCCAGAUGUUUCCUCAUGCUCUCAGUCUGUCUGCGUGCUGGAAUAAUCUUUUACAUUCUUGGUAUUUACUCAGGCAGAACACAGGGACGUAUCGAUCUGUAAUACAUUCCUCUUUCCCGUCGUUCUUUUUUUUACUGAGAAGUGUAACCACGGAGACGUGACGAAACUAUCCAUACGUUUUACGCGUGCAAGCCGUCUUGCCGUGGAACGUUCCGGUGAAUCAUUUCUUCAUCCGUUCUCAAACAUGUCACAUUAAGCCUUUAGAAGUCGUUCAACAUCAAUACAAAGACGAAGUGAUGGGGCAAUGACAAACACAGCUGACUGGGAAAUAAAUUCUGAUUGUUCAAAAACCUUCUCGCUUCUCACUGGACCAUUUGUAGACCCUCAAUGGGAAAGACCGGAAGCUUCCUCACGACACACUCGGAUCUUCUGCUCUAAUCAUUACAUUGUGCUUCCUCCAUGUUUACAGACUUGCCUCUGUCUUCACUGUGUAUCUCUACUCCAUCAUUCUGUAUUGAUUCCACUGUUCUUCUGUUCUCCAUCAUGGCAAUGGAUGUCUAAUGGAUGUCUGAUGUCUAACCCUGUUCUUUACCCUGAGGGGAAAAGUUCCUCCUGGAAUUGCACCAUGUAGGAACUUGAAUUUCCUUGUUUGGAAAAAAAAAAAAAAAACACACGAGGAAACCUAAGGAUGGAGAACCUUCUUUUUCUGGGAAGUCGGUGAUGAAGGUGAUGAAUUUCUCUUGUUUGAAAGAUAGACUUUAAGAAAAAAAAGAGAUAUAGUUAUAUAUAUUUCCCUCCAGAGACCCAAAAAGGAUUCACCCUACAACCACCUCUUAUUUGAGAGGGUUCUAAUUUAAGAACUCCAGAGAAACUCAUUGAAGAACCAUUUAAAAAUCACCGUUUUAUUCUUAUGAGUUUACGUUAGCAUCCUAAACAGUUCAUCGGUUUGGUUCUCUUGGGAACCCAGACAGGAUCUUCGUUUCUUUCCAUGUAGAACCUCUUUUGAAGCGUUUUUUACAGUGAGAUUUAGAACCGAAGAUCGUUACUUUAUUUAUUUAGUUCAUUCGUUUAUUUAGAUCGUGAGGCGUUUUAUUUUCACCGCCCCAAGGCUACUUUUUUCUGAAAUCCUUCCAUACACAUUUCAGUACCCAAAGAGCAAAAUGAUAUGUCUGGGUUCUGUUUUAUGUUCUGACCUUUGCUUUUGACUCGAUGAUUCAGAGUUUAACUGGGCUUUAAAAAUGAAAGGUUAGAACUUUAUUGAACCACUUUCCCUGGGAAAUCACUUCACACCACAGGAUGAAGAUGAGAGCACUGCACGCUUUACUCACUUUAGAGAACCGGUCCAAAUUGUGGAAAUGUUCUAGCAGCUCAUAAAGACUUUUACAGAAUCUCACCACAGCUGAACAAAAGAAUCGUUUGGGCUUUGUGCAACAGCGUUUUAGUAACAGUCCGUCCACAAUUGUACUCAUAAAUGAGGCGAAAGCGUGAAUAAGAGAGAGAUUUGGAGCUGAGAUGGUGUUUUCUCUUAAAUGAAGAACUCAUUCAGUGACGCCGGAGGAAGAGGAAAGUUGAUUAACGGUGUUUGUGCACUGUUUAUUGUUCUCUCCUUGUUUCUCUGCUGAUAUCAGGGGCUCUGGUUCUGUCUGACACAAUACAA